This is an RNA transcript of Limulus polyphemus (Atlantic horseshoe crab), 794 nucleotides long. RefSeq lists it as uncharacterized. NCBI's taxonomy places the organism in Eukaryota, Metazoa, Arthropoda, Merostomata, Xiphosura, Limulidae. The record is from RefSeq and is a predicted model, not a curated record. The transcript is spliced from 2 exons.
UACAAGCGAUACAAAGUUAAUAUUUUUACAAGUUUACAUCUCUUCGUGUGUAUCGAUCCUUCCUUGCUAUGGAUUCCAGGACCAACUACUAGGAUUGUCUGUCUGGCUGUUCCAGAUAGGCGCAGAAUGUCUCUGGUAAGUGGGAGUUUGUGCACGAGAGAGUAAGCUAGAACCGAAGAACUGGUGCUAUGUCCUUACACCCUAGAUGCUCUGUAUGUUCUUGCACAAAAGAGGGGGUAGCAUCUUCGUGCAUCACAAGUUACUACCCAUUGUAUGAAAAACGAUGUCUGUCUAAACGGUUGCUAUUUUCGAGUUGGAGAUAUUGAUCCGAUUACCAGAGGAGUUCGCGUAGCGCGUGAGAAGAGGAUCUAGACCACAGCUACUAACCCCCGACUCUGACUUCCGAGAGAACACAGAGUGAUAAAAACAGGUUAUCAGCCUUCUCCCAUCCAUCCUCUGUACCUGUACUGUUGCUAAUUGUACUGAAAACGAGAACGCUCUGGAUUUUUACCGAAAAUUCACACCAGGAAUGGAACCUACUCAAGAUUUUUCACUCAAGACUACGAGCUCUAAGUGCCGAGGCAGCGGGGAGAAAUGAGGAUGGAGGAUUAACGGGCCCAAGAACACUCGUUCAAGCCAUGGCCCAGCGUAAGGCCACUCCGGCAGAGAAGACGCCUACAUCCCUGUUCGUUCUGAAAGAGGACAACAUUAUUAGGAGAUACACAAAGUUCGUCAUUGAGUGGCCAUAUCCUUUGAUGUUACUCUAAAACGCUUUCCAAGUAGGGUUUUGUUUC